GUGCUCACUUCGGUAGCACAUAUACUAAAAUUAGAAUGAUACAGAGAAGAUUAGUGUGGCCCCUGCACAAGGAUGACAUGCAAAUUCGUGAAGUGUUCCAUAUUUUN
Molecule: small nuclear RNA, 107 nt
Filed under: Capra hircus (goat)
Lineage: Eukaryota; Metazoa; Chordata; Mammalia; Artiodactyla; Bovidae
Source: RNAcentral